RNAcentral lists this ribosomal RNA (1342 nucleotides) under uncultured bacterium. Its description in RNAcentral is "16S ribosomal RNA". It matches the Rfam family "Bacterial small subunit ribosomal RNA", at positions 28 to 1378 of the family's 1533-position model. The record is from RNAcentral.
GACGAACGCUGGCGGCGUGCUUAACACAUGCAAGUCGAACGGAAAGGCCCUGCUUUUGUGGGGUGCUCGAGUGGCGAACGGGUGAGUAACACGUGAGUAACCUGCCCUUGACUUUGGGAUAACUUCAGGAAACUGGGGCUAAUACCGGAUAGGAGCUCCUGCUGCAUGGUGGGGGUUGGAAAGUUUCGGCGGUUGGGGAUGGACUCGCGGCUUAUCAGCUUGUUGGUGGGGUAGUGGCUUACCAAGGCUUUGACGGGUAGCCGGCCUGAGAGGGUGACCGGCCACAUUGGGACUGAGAUACGGCCCAGACUCCUACGGGAGGCAGCAGUGGGGAAUAUUGCACAAUGGGCGGAAGCCUGAUGCAGCAACGCCGCGUGCGGGAUGACGGCCUUCGGGUUGUAAACCGCUUUCGCCUGUGACGAAGCGUGAGUGACGGUAAUGGGUAAAGAAGCACCGGCUAACUACGUGCCAGCAGCCGCGGUGAUACGUAGGGUGCGAGCGUUGUCCGGAUUUAUUGGGCGUAAAGGGCUCGUAGGUGGUUGAUCGCGUCGGAAGUGUAAUCUUGGGGCUUAACCCUGAGCGUGCUUUCGAUACGGGUUGACUUGAGGAAGGUAGGGGAGAAUGGAAUUCCUGGUGGAGCGGUGGAAUGCGCAGAUAUCAGGAGGAACACCAGUGGCGAAGGCGGUUCUCUGGGCCUUUCCUGACGCUGAGGAGCGAAGCGUGGGGAGCGAACAGGCUUAGAUACCCUGGUAGUCCACGCUGUAAACGGUGGGUACUAGGUGUGGGGUCCAUUCCACGGGUUCCGUGCCGUAGCUAACGCUUUAAGUACCCCGCCUGGGGAGUACGGCCGCAAGGCUAAAACUCAAAGGAAUUGACGGGGCCCCGCACAAGCGGCGGAGCAUGCGGAUUAAUUCGAUGCAACGCGUAGAACCUUACCUGGGUUUGACAUGGGUCGGGAGUGCUCAGAGAUGGGUGUGCCUCUUUUGGGGUCGGUUCACAGGUGGUGCAUGCCUGUCGUCAGCUCGUGUCGUGAGAUGUUGGGUUAAGUCCCGCAACGAGCGCAACCCUUGUUCACUGUUGCCAGCACGUUAUGGUGGGGACUCAGUGGAGACCGCCGGGGUCAACUCGGAGGAAGGUGGGGAUGACGUCAAGUCCUCAUGCCCCUUAUGUCCAGGGCUUCACGCAUGCUACAAUGGCUGGUACAGAGAGUGGCGAGCCUGUGAGGGUGAGCGAAUCUCGGAAAGCCGGUCUCAGUUCGGAUUGGGGUCUGCAACUCGACCUCAUGAAGUCGGAGUCGCUAGUAAUCGCAGAUCAGCAACGCUGCGGUGAAUAAAUUCCCGGG